This 1652-nucleotide long non-coding RNA is filed under the name Brassica napus (rape). RNAcentral describes it as "long non-coding RNA (BNAP_LNC002445)". Lineage: Eukaryota; Viridiplantae; Streptophyta; Magnoliopsida; Brassicales; Brassicaceae. The record is from RNAcentral.
GCCAAUCCCUGGAGGGUACCUUCCUCCUCCUCCUCCUCGGUUAUUGUUGUUGUUGUUGUUCAUCAUCACAACCUUCUUUUUACUCGAUCUCUAAAACGCUAACUCUGUCUAGGGAUGGAUUUGUACAGCAACUAAAGAAGAACUUCUAGGUGCCGAGAUAUUGACAAAAUCGCGAUUCAAUUACAAAUAAGAAGAAGAAGAAGAAGAAGCUCUUGCGGAUAAAUCUAGGGUUUGUAGAGCGCAAAAUCGGAGAGCAGAUCUGGAAAAUUAAAAUUAAAUUUUAAAAAAACUCGGCGAGAUUCGGGGAUUUGAUAAUUAGUUAAGAAUUUUCGAAAAAGGUCCACGCGAGGAACGAUAGAGAGUGAGAGAGAGAGAGAUAUGAAUCAAAGGGGUCUGGCUUGAGAGACAGAGAGACAGGCGAGAGAGGCACAGGAAGACAAAUCUCUGUCUGUAAAAAUAAUUUAUAGUUAUAAUAAUAAUGUUUUUGUGGUUUCUUGGGCAUACGGCUAGGGCUGGUGGGGGAGACACGGAGAGGAGAGCUCACAACCCGGCCUUUGGGCUUAUUAUGCAAAGACCCUUUUUUGUAUGUAGUAGGCAGGCGUACAAGGCAAAGAUCCAAUGCGUUGACUUGUUUUACCCGUUCCAGUGAUAUUCACGUGAACAUCCUGCUGUUUCAGUUCUAUUUUUCUUGGGUCGUCAAAAAGACAUUAUUACCCCAUAGGAAAUUACAACAACACAUUAGUUGUGAGCGCCAAGAUAAGGCUAAAGACGUAAAAAGGCUCUGAGUAUUCUUUCAGGUCAGGUUCAGAAACUAGUUUCGUUUCAUUUCAUUUCAUCUACCCCCUCUUCACUUGAGAAGUUCUGUCUUUUGCGAUCCUUGUCAUUUUUGUAAAGGUGAGUCGAUCUAUAUAUGGUCACUAGUAUUCUGGAAUUGAUGCUGUUUUAAUACUCAGUUCGAACAUUCUGUUAUCAAAUCCGGUUCUAGUCAGUUGUUAGCGGGAUAGGGUUUGCUUGAGAUCAUUUCGCUUCUUGAUUUUUUUUAAUGUCACUGAUGGAUCUGGUAAUCUUCCUUAUCGAAUUAGGAAAAGGAAUCUGUAUUAAGUGGACUAAUCUCAAAUCUAGGUAUAAAAAAAAUGGGAGGAGGAGGAGAAGGAGUUGUAGAGAUCUGGGGUCUAGGAAGCCAUUGCUGCUGAUGUUGCUGCUGCUGGUAUUGACGAGGAGGCUGAGACGUGGCUUGCUGAAACUGCUGUUGGUGGGAGUAACCGCCUCGCUGAACGUACUGCGGCUGCUGCUGCUGCUGAUAGCCAGGCCGGGACUGGAAGUUAGGGUUAGGGUUAAUUGCACCACGGCCAGCGCCAAUCCCUGGAGGGUACCUUCCUCCUCCUCCUCCUCGGUUAUUGUUGUUGUUGUUGUUCAUCAUCACAACCUUCUUUUUACUCGAUCUCUAAAACGCUAACUCUGUCUAGGGAUGGAUUUGUACAGCAACUAAAGAAGAACUUCUAGGUGCCGAGAUAUUGACAAAAUCGCGAUUCAAUUACAAAUAAGAAGAAGAAGAAGAAGAAGCUCUUGCGGAUAAAUCUAGGGUUUGUAGAGCGCAAAAUCGGAGAGCAGAUCUGGAAAAUUAAAAUUAAAUUUUAAAAAAACUCGGCGAG